CUUUAACUCCGGUUGAUUCUGCCGGAGGUCACUGCUAUUGGGAUUCGGCUAAGCCAUGCAAGCGGAGGGCGCGGUCGAAAGAUCGUGGCCCCGCACACUGCUCAGUAACACGUAGUCAACCUACCCUUGGGACGGGGACAACCUCGGGAAACUGAGGCUAAUACCCGAUAGGUGAGGGACGCUGGGAUGCCUCCUCGCCCAAAGCUCCGGCGCCCAAGGAUGGGACUGCGGUCUAUCAGGCUGUUGGUGGUGUAACGGACCACCAAACCUACGACGGGUACGGGCGAUGGGAGUCGGAGCCCGGAGAUG
Molecule: ribosomal RNA, 309 nt
Filed under: Hadesarchaea archaeon
Lineage: Archaea; Methanobacteriati; Hadarchaeota (SeqCode); Hadarchaeia (SeqCode)
Description: bacterial SSU rRNA
Rfam family: Archaeal small subunit ribosomal RNA
Source: RNAcentral